Molecule: ribosomal RNA, 433 nt
Filed under: uncultured bacterium
Lineage: Bacteria
Description: partial 16S ribosomal RNA
Rfam family: Bacterial small subunit ribosomal RNA
Source: RNAcentral
AACGAACGCUGGCGGCAUGCCUAACACAUGCAAGUCGAACGAGACCUUCGGGUCUAGUGGCGCACGGGUGCGUAACGCGUGGGAACCUGCCCUUAGGUUCGGAAUAACUCCCCGAAAGGGGUGCUAAUACCGGAUAAUGUCUUCGGACCAAAGAUUUAUCGCCUUUGGAUGGGCCCGCGUUGGAUUAGCUAGUUGGUAGGGUAAAAGCCUACCAAGGCGACGAUCCAUAGCUGGUCUGAGAGGAUGAUCAGCCACACCGGGACUGAGACACGGCCCAGACUCCUACGGGAGGCAGCAGUGGGGAAUAUUGGACAAUGGGCGAAAGCCUGAUCCGGCAAUGCCGCGUGAGUGAUGAAGGCCUUAGGGUUGUAAAGCUCUUUUACCCGGGAUGAUAAUGACAGUACCGGGAGAAUAAGCUCCGGCUAACUCCGUG